RNAcentral lists this ribosomal RNA (471 nucleotides) under uncultured bacterium. RNAcentral describes it as "partial 16S rRNA". It matches the Rfam family "Bacterial small subunit ribosomal RNA", at positions 76 to 558 of the family's 1533-position model. The record is from RNAcentral.
ACCUUCGGGUGGUGAGUAAAGUGGCGGACGGGUGAGUAACGCGUGGGUAACCUGCCUUGAGGAGGGGGAUAACCCGGGGAAACCCGGGCUAAUACCGCAUAAGCCCUACUGGGAGGGAUCCUGGGAGGGGAAAGGUCUUUGGACCGCCUGAAGAGGGGCCCGCGUCCGAUUAGCUGGUUGGUGAGGUAAGGGCUCACCAAGGCGACGAUCGGUAGCCGGUCUGAGAGGACGGACGGCCACACUGGGACUGAGACACGGCCCAGACUCCUACGGGAGGCAGCAGUGGGGAAUUUUGGGCAAUGGGCGCAAGCCUGACCCAGCAACGCCGCGUGGAGGAAGAAGGUCUUCGGAUCGUAAACUCCUGUCCAGGGGGACGAAGAGAUGACGGUACCCCUGGAGGAAGCCCCGGCUAACUCCGUGCCAGCAGCCGCGGUAAUACGGGGGGGGCAAGCGUUGUUCGGAAUUACUGGG